GGGGAAUUUUCCGCAAUGGGCGAAAGCCUGACGGAGCAAUACCGCGUGAGGGAGGAAGGCUCUUGGGUUGUAAACCUCUUUUCUCAGGGAAGAAGAAAUGACGGUACCUGAGGAAUAAGCAUCGGCUAACUCCGUGCCAGCAGCCGCGGUAAUACGGAGGAUGCAAGCGUUAUCCGGAAUGAUUGGGCGUAAAGGGUCCGCAGGUGGCAUUGAAAGUCUGCUGUUAAAGAGUCUAGCUCAACUAGAUAAGAGCAGUGGAAACUACAAAGCUAGAGUUUGGUCGGGGCAGAAGGAAUUCCUGGUGUAGCGGUGAAAUGCGUAGAUAUCAGGAAGAACACCAGUGGCGAAGGCGUUCUGCUAGGUCGAGACUGACACUGAGGGACGAAAGCUAGGGGAGCGAAUGGGAUUAGAUACCCCAGUAGUC
Molecule: ribosomal RNA, 424 nt
Filed under: uncultured cyanobacterium
Lineage: Bacteria; Bacillati; Cyanobacteriota
Description: bacterial SSU rRNA
Rfam family: Bacterial small subunit ribosomal RNA
Source: RNAcentral